RNAcentral lists this ribosomal RNA (497 nucleotides) under uncultured bacterium. RNAcentral's name for it is "partial 16S ribosomal RNA". It matches the Rfam family "Bacterial small subunit ribosomal RNA", at positions 28 to 507 of the family's 1533-position model. The record is from RNAcentral.
GAUGAACGCUGGCGGCGUGCCUAAUACAUGCAAGUCGAGCGAACGGACGAGAAGCUUGCUUCUCUGAUGUUAGCGGCGGACGGGUGAGUAACACGUGGAUAACCUACCUAUAAGACUGGGAUAACUUCGGGAAACCGGAGCUAAUACCGGAUGAUAUUUUGAACCGCAUGGUUCAAAAGUGAAAGACGGUCUUGCUGUCACUUAUAGAUGGAUCCGCGCUGCAUUAGCUAGUUGGUAAGGUAACGGCUUACCAAGGCAACGAUGCAUAGCCGACCUGAGAGGGUGAUCGGCCAAACUGGAAAUGAGACACGGUCCAGACUCCUACGGGAGGCAGCAGUAGGGAAUCUUCCGCAAUGGGCGAAAGCCUGACGGAGCAACGCCGCGUGAGUGAUGAAGGUCUUCGGAUCGUAAAACUCUGUUAUUAGGGAAGAACAUAUGUGUAAGUAACUGGGCACAUCUUGACGGUACCUAAUCAGAAAGCCACGGCUAACUACGUG